RNAcentral lists this ribosomal RNA (459 nucleotides) under uncultured bacterium. RNAcentral's name for it is "partial 16S ribosomal RNA". It matches the Rfam family "Bacterial small subunit ribosomal RNA", at positions 338 to 795 of the family's 1533-position model. The record is from RNAcentral.
CCUACGGGAGGCAGCAGUGAGGAAUAUUGGUCAAUGGCCGUAAGGCUGAACCAGCCAAGUAGCGUGAGGGAAGACUGCCCUAUGGGUUGUAAACCUCUUUUAUGCGGGGAUAAAGGUGUCCACGUGUGGAUGUUUGCAGGUACCGCAUGAAUAAGGACCGGCUAAUUCCGUGCCAGCAGCCGCGGUAAUACGGAAGGUCCGGGCGUUAUCCGGAUUUAUUGGGUUUAAGGGGUGCGCAGGCGGAUUUUUAAGUCAGCGGUCAACUCGUGGGGCUCAACCCCAUCCAGCCGUUGAGACUGGGGAUCUAGAGUGUGCGAGAGGUAUGCGGAAUUCGUGGUGUAGCGGUGAAAUGCUUAGAUAUCACGAAGAACCCCGAUUGCGAAGGCAGCUUACUAAACUGUGACUGACAUUGAUGCUCGAAAGUGUGGGUAUCAAACAGGAUUAGAUACCCGGGUAGUC